CCCCGAAUUUUGAAUAUCACUUUUGCUUUAUAAGUAAAUCUUCAUUUCGAGGAAGCAAUUAUGUCAUGCCCAAUACGUUAGGACAUAACAAAUUAAGUUCCCAAAAAUGAUUUUUACUUAUAUAUUUUAAAUAACGAAUAUUCUCAGUUAUUUGGAAUUAACAAAGAAAAUUGGAACCCAAUGCGUUAGGGCUCAAUUUUCUUCGAAAAUCCCUAACUUUGAAUAUCGUUUUUAUUUUGAAAACCCUUGAAUCAUAAAAAAUUGAUUUUAAUAUUUUGACAAAAUCAAAAUGUAUUUUAAAAAUAUGUUAAAAAUGUUAAUGCAAUAUGAAACAAAUAUUUUAAUUUAAAUUAUGCAUAUUUAUAAGUAUAAUAUAUAAACAAUUUUAGCAAAUACGUAUAGGAAUAUGAGGGGAAAGGAAAAAAAAUGCGUAAGUCAUAAAAAUAAUAAUAAAAUAAAAUACACAUAAAAUAUAUUAAUACAUGUUUUUUUUUUAAAAAUGUAUAAAUAUAAUGUAUUAGUAAAUAUAAAAACAUGGAAAAUGUUUAUAAAAGCCUUGAAAAGAAUGCAAAAAUAUAUGUACAUAUUAUAAAAUGUAUAUACAUAUGAAUUAUAAAACAUGAAAACAUAAAUAUUAUUAUAUAAAAAAUGAAUGUAUAUAAAAUAUGGACGAACUAUAAAAAUAAAAUAUAUGGGAAUAAAAAUAUAUAUACGUACUACCUAUAUAUUUAAAACAUUUAUAAUAUAUAUGUAUAUUAAUAUAUAUAUAUAGGCGAACACAUAUAAAUACAAUAAUAAUAAUAUAAUAAUUAUAAUAAUAAACAAUAUAAACAAUAUAAUAAAAAUAAACUAAAAAAAACAAAUUAAGGACUAAAUUAAAAUGCCAAACAGAAGUUGGGAGCUAAAUUUGAAAAUAAAAACAAGAAAGGGAGUAAAUUUAAACAGGUGCAAUAGAUAAAGGACCGAAAGAGCAAUUUUCCAACCCGCCCUAAAGCGCUGCACACUAUUGGACCAAUUUGAAACAAAAAUAAAAUGUGCAGUAAAAUUUAAAAGAGAUAAAUUGAAAAACACCCUAAAAUCAUGAGGACUAAUUGCGAAAAUAUCUCUUUUUGAACCCUUAUAAAACCUCAUUUUUAAAACCCUAAAGUCAUUCCCUUUCUCUGCCAUUUGAAGUUGCGCUGUAGCUUCCUCUCUUUUCAGCCAUUCAAGCCCCAUUUUCGACCAGCAACGGCGAUGUGAGGGCAUUCCGACGACACCCCAACGGUAAGUCCUCCUUUCCUUCUUUUCUUUAUUUAUUUUUGUUUUAGGAUAACAAAAGAAAAACAAAAUAAAGUAAAAACAGUAAAAUGAACAAAGAAAAAUAAAAAUCUGUCACCUUCAAAAUCCUUGCUUUUUUUUUCCUUGUAUUUUCUUUUUCCUUUUUUUUCCAGUACAAAAUUUGCUAACCCCUUUUACAAAUUUGAUUUGACUUUAAAUAGCCAAAAUAACGAAAAGAAAAACCCCCGAAAACCUCUUUUCCACCCUUUACAGUUCGUGGUUGUUGCAGGUACGAGCGUGUGGCGUGCGUGGAGUGUUGAACGUGGGACGGUGCGAAGGCUGCCGAACGUGGGGCAUGUGGCGCUGCUAAUUGCUGCUAGGGUUUCUGCUGUUUUAGGCCAAUUGGGCCCUGUAAUUGGGUUUAGCUUGGCCCAAGUUUU
Molecule: long non-coding RNA, 1697 nt
Filed under: Gossypium raimondii (Peruvian cotton)
Lineage: Eukaryota; Viridiplantae; Streptophyta; Magnoliopsida; Malvales; Malvaceae
Description: long non-coding RNA (GRAI_LNC000419)
Source: RNAcentral